GACGAACGCUGGCGGCGUGCUUAACACAUGCAAGUCGAACGGAAAGGCCUGCUUUCCCUUGUGGAUUGCGGGUACUCGAGUGGCGAACGGGUGAGUAACACGUGAGUGAUCUGCCCCCAACUUGGGUAUAAGCCUGGGAAACUGGGUCUAAUUCCCGAUAGGACUGCAGGGUGGUGCCUGUGGUGGAAAACGAUUUUCUAGUGGUUGGGGAUGAGCUCGCGGCCUAUCAGCUUGUUGGUGGGGUAAUGGCCUACCAAGGCGGCGACGGGUAGCCGGCCGGGGAGGGUGGACGGCCACAUUGGGACUGAGAUACGGCCCAGACUCCUACGGGAGGCAGCAGUGGGGAAUAGUGCACAAUGGGCGGAAGCCUGAUGCAGCGACGCCGCGUGGGGGAUGACGGCCUUCGGGUGGUAAACUCCUUUCGACCGCGAGGAAGCCACCUGGUUGGAAGGGUGGUGACGGUAGUGGUAGAAGAAGCACCGGCUAACUACGUG
Molecule: ribosomal RNA, 494 nt
Filed under: uncultured bacterium
Lineage: Bacteria
Description: partial 16S ribosomal RNA
Rfam family: Bacterial small subunit ribosomal RNA
Source: RNAcentral